UCCUCGUCCUCCCGGCCGCGCGCGCCGUGGCUGCCUGGGGGCGGCGCCCGAACGGCCAGCGCUGUGCCGGCCGCCCCCGGACAGGUAGCCCCGCUCGCGGCCAGAACUGCGCCGGAAGCCAAGAAGGCCCCCCGUCCUUUUCUCCGCGAAGUCAGAGCUUCACGGUCAAGGCCGUCAGGCCGGUUUCGGGAAACUGGCCACACGGCGGGCUACUCCCAGGGCGGCGUCAGGUUCACCUUGGGGCGGGAGCUUUGCCGGGUACGCGCACGUCUCCCGGGGCGGUUGUCCGGUCCUCGGUGAUUGCUCCAGGGGCUCCUGGGCCUGCAACCUUCAUCCAGCCCCGGUGCAUCCCCCGCGUGUCCCCAGUUUAGAAGGUUUGGGUCGAAGCGAGCGGCCUCGAGACAUCCCGACUUGCCACAAUUCUUAGGGGGCGCGUCCUAAAAAUCAAGCUGUUCCUGUAACCCUUCUGGAUAUAUUUGACCACAGGACAUUUGCUCCUAAGGCCGAGAGAGGAUGGACAAAUUAUACCUCCAAGCUGGGGGCAUUCCCAUUGCAUUGACCCACAUGCUGAGUGGACCCUGUUCAGGCUCAUCCCGCAGAAAAUUAAACGUGCCGUCCUGGGACCCAGGGUCCUAAAGCGCAGAAAGGCCUUCUCACCGGUCUGCAAAGCACUGGCUGUUAGAGAAAUCACGAGUAAUCCGCUGUCUUUCUGCACCACCCGUCGCUUCGUUUUGCUCGCUUUUGAAUAUAAAGAAGUAUUCUUGAAGACCUCCACUUUAAGAAUGAUAAAAUUGUGGCCAUCAGAAGUGCCUCCAACUACGUAAUAUGCUGCAAAGGAAAAUGUACUUCUUGCCGUGAGUUGUGCCAAGACGUUCGAAAAUCGUUGCAAUAAAGGCUUUCUAAGGACUUUCCAGCUCCAUGAUUCUAUAAUUGUGUUGGAAUUCCAAAUCAUUCAUUUAAAAAAAGAGGUAUCGUACACCGGCUUUCUCCCCUGUGCCCCAGAGCACCGCCCAGAGGGUCCCUGGCAUGCCUUAGCAACAGUAUUGUGACACAGGGGUGACAAGGCUUUGGGGCGCCAUGAACACCUUUGGCAUCUCAUGAAGUCCACGAAUCCUGUCUCAGUAUAAUGUACUGAAAUGCAUAAAAAUGAAAUGCAUAGGUUUACAAAAGAAAGCAGUUAUAUCAAAAACGCUAUCAAAAUAUUUCUGGAACAGUGACAUAUGCGCUGCUCUCUUCACACAGACGUCUAAGAAUGUCUGUAACGUCAGAGUAGUGAGGAGCAUAAACAGCGUUUUGGAUGAUUCGCAACAGCUGUACUAUGAUAAGAAAAUAUGGUUUGUAUUGGACAAAAUGACAGGUUCUGCUAAAACUUCUGCGGCUUAUUGCUGACAUUCGUAAUUACAGGAAGUGUUAAAUUCUAGUUAGAGGAGAAGGAAAAUAAAGAUGCAGUUAUCAUCCACCAAUUCUCACGGAUCCCCUGAAUGCCCGCUGCAGAGCAGAUCUGGAGAGAGUUGCUGGUAUAACUGCAUUUCAAUGUCUGCAAUGGGUUGUGGUCUCGCAGGUCAGGGGGGGAUGAAAGGGCUUUAGAAUAAAACCAAGUGAAAAUCGGGGCGCCUGGGUGGCUCAGUCGUUAAGCGUCUGCCUUCGGCUCGGGUCAUGAUCCUAGAGUCCUUGGAUCGAGCCCCGCAUCAGGCUCCCUGCUCAGCAGGAGGCCUGCUUCUCCCUCUCCCACUCCCCCUGCUUGUGUUCCCUCUCUCGCUGUCUCUAUCAAAUAAAUAAAUAAAAUCUUUAAAAAAAAAAAAAAAAAACAAGUGAAAAUCCAAGCUAAUUGUCAAAUAAUUAGCUCAGGUGCAGAUCCUUCGGAGGCCAAGGUUGGGAGGCCUGUCCUGAAGGGCUGCGGGUGGGAUGGAGCUGUUCCCAGAGAGUGGCCAGCUGCCUUUCUAACCAGGCUGGACCCGGAGGGAGUCCACAGCAGUCACAGCGUCCUGAGCCAUCCCCACUACAGCUCUCCUCUUCACUCAAGAGUCACUGGUCUGAGCAUUCCGGAAGGGGAAGGAGCCUUCCAGAUCUAUCCCACAUCUAUCUCCCUCUACACAACCCCAUUAUAAGGUCAUCCAGCCUCUGCUAGCACACCCCCAAAGACAGGGAGCUCACCACCUCAAUAGGAGGGAGAGCGCCUUUGUUCCAGUUCCAGGAAGCCCGAGUUGACUUCCUAGGAAACACAGGGAUCCGUGGGUGUGGUGUGGGGCCCAGGGGAAGGUCCUGCUUUCUGCUCAGAACGGGCCGAGGGCGGGGAACUCCGUGGGCUGUGUGUCUGCCCUGUGUGGGGCUCUCCAUGGCCCUCCUCAGAAGCCCGUCUGGCAGAGCCUGAUGGCAGGAACCUCAUCCUCUUUCCCAUGUUCGUCCCAGGUGCCCCCGGACCCACAGCUGGUCUCCCACCCCACCCCGCCCCAGGCUACAGUAUCUCACUGGUGCCCCUCCCUCUAGGGCCUCCGCCCUUCCCUCUGCCCCAAGACUCCCACUCUGGGAGGG
Mirounga angustirostris (Northern elephant seal) is the source of this 2532-nucleotide long non-coding RNA. RefSeq lists it as uncharacterized. The record is from RefSeq and is a predicted model, not a curated record. NCBI's taxonomy places the organism in Eukaryota, Metazoa, Chordata, Mammalia, Carnivora, Phocidae. The transcript is spliced from 3 exons.